Haliotis rubra (blacklip abalone) is the source of this 384-nucleotide long non-coding RNA. RefSeq lists it as uncharacterized. The record is from RefSeq and is a predicted model, not a curated record. NCBI's taxonomy places the organism in Eukaryota, Metazoa, Mollusca, Gastropoda, Lepetellida, Haliotidae. The transcript is spliced from 3 exons.
GUUCGUCUCUCCAGUUCAGAAAACAAUAUGCACGUGCAUUACAUGUUUUGCUCGUGCAUGAAGGUGAAAUGCAUGCAUGUACACAUUUCACAAGACCAUGUUUAGAGAGUAGUACUGUGUGAGUUGAUGAUUCAGUAAUAUGGCUCGCAACCAGUAACCUGAGGCCACAAAAUGGCAAACUGUAGGCAUGAGAGAAGGCGGCAUGUCCUUGCGACAGAUUACAAGACGCGUUAACGUCUGUCACAGCGUCAUCAGCAAGUUGCUGAAAAAACACCACAGGAGAGGUGAAGUCAAGGUUACCGCAGGUCGAGGUCGACCCAAAAAGACCGAUUUGAUGGAUGAUAGACGGCUGCUACGAAUGGCACAUCAGGCACCAUUUUGGUU